AGUUAAUCCAAUCAUCUCCGAUUAGCGGAGAAUUCUAAGGAGGGAAAGACUACAUUUCCCAGCAGCCAAGUCGCUGUCGUAGGGUGAAGGAGUAUUGGUGGCAAGAAGAGGAUCGGACUGGUGGUUCCCGGCCCGGUGCAAAGAGUAACAGUUUGGUCUGUGAAGGGGGGAAAAAGGGCGCGCGAAGGAAAUGGCGGUUGAUAAAGAGCUGCUGGAGUUGGACUUGUACGCACUUCUGGGAGUCGGCGAGAAGGCGGCGGAUAAAGAGAUUAAGAAAGCCUACAGACAGAAGGCUCUGACUUGCCAUCCAGAUAAAAAUCCAGAUAAUCCAAAAGCAGCUGAACUCUUCCAUCAGUUGUCUCAGGCAUUGGCGGUUCUAACAGAUGCAGCAGCAAGGGCAGCAUAUGAUAAAGUGAGGAAAGCCAAAAAACAAGCAGCAGAAAGGACACAGAAACUUGAUGAAAGGAGGAAAAAAGUCAAGCUUGAUCUUGAAGCCCGAGAAAAAGAAGCCCAGUCCCGGGUUAGCAAGGAGGAAGAGAUCCAAAUAACUAGGACAUUAGAGCAAGAGAUCCUAAGAUUACGUGAAGAGGGAUCCCGGCAGUUGGAAGAGCAACAAAGACUCAUUCAGGAACAAAUCCGGCUUGAGAAAGAACAGCGAGUACAUGGCAAACAAGAUGGGUAUGGACAGGAGGGCAAAGGAACACCCAAGCUCAAACUACGGUGGAAAUGCAAGAAAGAAGAUGACACCAAGGGAGGCUACUCGAGAGAAGUUCUCUUGCAAAUGCUACAGAAGUAUGGCGAGGUUCUCAAUUUGCUGAUUUCGAGCAGGAAGCCUGGGAGUGCGGUUGCAGAAUUUGCCACAGUGAAAGCUGCUGAGAUGGCAGUGAAGCAUGAAGUUGGCCUGAUAAACAAUCCUCUAAAAAUUACCUGGCUAGAAGGCCAGCCACAGGGCAGCACGCUAUAUGCUGAUGGCACUAUCCAGCCACGAAUAUCCCAGGAUGAUGACUUGGUUGCCCAACUUCUUUUGCCUUCUGAAUGAGAGACGCUUGAAGAAACCAGAGGAUCUGAUGGAUCCUCUACGCCAGAUGUCCCCUCUGCGCCAAGUGUCCAUGGCAAGGAAAGCAGGAAAAGGCUGGUAGUUGGAAAUGGCACAGUGGAGGCCAGAGGCCUUGGCCACAAGCUGACACAGGUUCAGUUGUCUCUGAGAGGGAUUAUGAAAGCCUUGUCAUGAUGCGGAUGCGCCAAGCUGCUGAGAGACAGAAACUAAUUGAGCAGAUGAAACGGGAAGAUGAGGAGGAGACUUGCACGUAGUAGUAGUAGAAUUGGCAUGAUCUUGUGCUUUUACAUCUUAAAUUAAGUCAAUAAAUAUCCUUUCUAAUAA
This is an RNA transcript of Varanus komodoensis (Komodo dragon), 1381 nucleotides long. It is a transcript of the gene named DnaJ heat shock protein family (Hsp40) member C17, with no coding region annotated. The record is from RefSeq and is a predicted model, not a curated record. The transcript is spliced from 12 exons. Lineage: Eukaryota; Metazoa; Chordata; Lepidosauria; Squamata; Varanidae.